Prolemur simus (greater bamboo lemur) is the source of this 133-nucleotide small nucleolar RNA. The record is from Ensembl. Lineage: Eukaryota; Metazoa; Chordata; Mammalia; Primates; Lemuridae.
CUUGCACCCAAACCCAAGAAUCGCUGUUUCUUGUAACAGUGGUUUAAACAGAGGUGCAAACAACAAGUGGAUCUCGUCGCCUUUGGGGAGCUGUGGCUGUGCCCCUCAAAGUGAAUUUGGAGGUUCUACAUUC